AUGACUUUGGAGGGCUGCAUCUGGCCCUGGCUGAUUGAGGGAUUCAGACCCCCUCUUUCCUUUUUGGAAUUUUGUAGCUCAAGAUGGAGGGUCCAGGAUGAGAGAAGAACUCUUGUCAGUUGGAGGCCAGUGUGGAUGUUGCAGUUGGCCACCUUGAUUGGCAUGGAAUAGCCUUGCAGCUUCAAGGUCUGGCUGCUUCCUGCCUGGGGGAAUCAUUUGUUGGCAGGUGUUAGCUGACCCUGAUUGUGUCAUGCCUCUGCAUUCUUUGCUAGAUAAAUUUAAAACCUUGCAGAAUUACAACUCUUACUACUCCAUAACACUGAGCCAUGGCAGUUCAAGUGUUGUCAAACUGGAUUAAUUUUACAGUGCAGAUGCGCCCUGUGAUAGAAAUGUUCAGGAAAAGAGGACUUUGCAACCGCACACAUCCACUGCCAGCAUACUCUCUGCUUUGCCUAUAGAGAUAUCUGAAAGUGGAGCCGCAAGAGUAUAUAGGCUUAUAGGGAGGAUUCAUGUGAGGUUGGAUGGGCUUCUACCAUCUCCAAAGCAAGAAUAUAUACCAUUUGAUGG
RNAcentral lists this long non-coding RNA (567 nucleotides) under Anolis carolinensis (green anole). Its description in RNAcentral is "lncRNA (ENSACAG00000039799.1)". The record is from RNAcentral. Lineage: Eukaryota; Metazoa; Chordata; Lepidosauria; Squamata; Anolidae.